CAAAUCAGGCAGUCGCGGGCGAGCGCCGAAAGGCUCCGUCCGAGGAAAGUCCGGGCUUCACAGAGCGAGGAUAACGGCUAACGGCCGCCGGGGGCGACCCCAGGGAUAGUGCAACAGAAAAUAACUGCGAAUCGUUGUUUUUCUCCAUGUCUGAUUGAACGAUUAAUCGGGGUCCCCGAAAAGCCUGCUUUUUGGGGAGAGGAGGAGCGGCAAAACGAGGACGGGAAUUGUUUUAUAAAGCAUUGAUAAAACGAUUCCCACUGAGUGGCGCCAGCGACGACGUGAUGGUGGAAAGGUGAGGUAAGAGCUCACCGGGGUGGCGGAGACGUCACCGCCGUGUAAACCCUAUCCGAAGCAACACCGCGGAGGGACAAUAUGCUUGCUCGGCAGUCCCGUGGAGGUGGCACCGAGCCGCUGCGGCAACGCACGGCCAAGAUAGAUGACUGCCCAAUACAGAACCCGGCUUAUAGAUUUGCUCGC
Molecule: RNase P RNA, 480 nt
Filed under: uncultured Ruminococcus sp.
Lineage: Bacteria; Bacillati; Bacillota; Clostridia; Eubacteriales; Oscillospiraceae
Description: Bacterial RNase P class A
Rfam family: Bacterial RNase P class A
About the family: Ribonuclease P (RNase P) is a ubiquitous endoribonuclease, found in archaea, bacteria and eukarya as well as chloroplasts and mitochondria. Its best characterised activity is the generation of mature 5'-ends of tRNAs by cleaving the 5'-leader elements of precursor-tRNAs. Cellular RNase Ps are ribonucleoproteins.
Source: RNAcentral